UCCGAUGAUCCUUCACCGCCGGAGACGACGGAGAAGACGAAACGGUGGUGGAGGAAGAAGAAGAUCGGUGAAUGAUGUAAUACGACGUAGUAUUAGGUAAUCGAGAGAGUUUAUCUCUUAAACAACAAGGACAAACUCCUCUGUUGCUUUGGUGGUUGUGCUUUCUGCAUUCCAUUUUUCUUCUUUUUUUUCGCUUUGAUUACUCUCAAAGAGGUUUAUGUGUGUGUGGGAUAUAUAUGUAUUACACACGCAAGCGCACGUGUGAAAUAUUGCCACGUGUGCUUCAACGUCGGUAUAACCAAAGAAAGGUCAUUAAGGUUUCGCUAUGUUGACAGGGCUUUUCGUAGAAGACGCACCUCUGACGUGUAAAGGACCACUUAUAAAAUGAGUCUAAUUAUUGUUUUUCUUUUUUCUUUUUACGUCAAUAAAAUUAUUAAGUGAUUGGAUCAAUUAAGGAACAUAAUUUAGAAAAUGAUUGUUUUUUUUUUUUUUUGACAAACUUAAGAAAAUGAUUGUUAUCUUUAUACUGAAAAUAUCUGAGGGCAAAAAAAUCUAAACAACUGAUAGUCGCCAUCUAAUUAUAGUUUUUUAUUUAAAAUUUCUUAAUUGAUAAAAAUCUUUAUUAUUUUGUACUAUGAUAUCAUCUUAAAUGUACAAAUUUUUUUAUUUUGACAUUUAAAUUGUUUUUGAAUUAAAUUUACAGCUCUUUUUUGCUUUUUAAUUAUUAUAUAAAACAUUUUUCCAAAUUCAAUUAAAGAAAAUCUAACCGGUGUCCAUAGAUUUUUGUUCUAUAGCAAAAAAAAUGUCCCUAGAUUUUAUGUGCAAGUUAGUUAACGAAGAUUAUAUAGAAUGGGUGAUGUAAGUGAGAGAAGUCACAGGCCGUGACACUAAUAAAAACUUAAAUUUGGUUCAAACAAUUUCACGAUGAAAUAGGGUCAACAAAAGAAACGCAAAAUUGAAAGAGGUUUGAUAGCGAUAGACGGUUGUGAUUUAAACAAACACUCAACAUGUUAUGGAACCCACUUUGUUAGGUAUCAUCUGACGGUGACCGUUGGCCGGUGGACUCGGGACUCGCUUCUAACGCGUACCAAAAAAAGUAAAUAAAAAAAACCCACUCGUGCGCAUUCAUUUUUUAUCUCAUCUUUUUAAUUUAUUAGUACGUGACUUUUGAUUUCUGUAUAUUAUUUUCAGUUUUGUUUCUUGAAGAAUGGUGCGCCGUAUGCUUUCAAUUUUGUGUGCACGUGAGAGUGUAGUCAAUAAGGUCGACCAAAAUUUAUGGGAAAAUGAAGUUAUUGGAGACGAAAUCUAGAAGUUUUUACGGUUCAUGAUCGUGGGAAUGAGUGACUGAUCGGAUUACAAAGUAGAUCCUCUUGUUAUUUUUCUAAUCCGGGAAACACUAUUUAUUCGAUGAACCUUCCUUAACAUUUAUUGAUUUACCAAU
Molecule: long non-coding RNA, 1441 nt
Filed under: Arabidopsis lyrata
Lineage: Eukaryota; Viridiplantae; Streptophyta; Magnoliopsida; Brassicales; Brassicaceae
Description: long non-coding RNA (ALYR_LNC000706)
Source: RNAcentral